UCCCAUUACGCUCCCGCGAGGCCGGUCUCUUGCGCCAACCAAAAGAAACAAAAUGGCCGACGGUCGCGAGGAAGUCAUUCUGGCGUUUGUGCCCAGCCGACCAAUCAGAAGCCUUACAGGUGACCCAUCACAUUGAAGUUAUGUCACAGCCAGUCCACCACCUUCCAACGGGCCACCCCACCUCACCAAUGGUGAUGUCCAUUUCUGAACGUAGUGGUGCCCGCCUGACCUAAAUGGAACCGGAUUGGCUCCUCUUCCAUUUUUUUCUGCCCCAAUAUUUAAACCUGAAGCACUUUGUGGGCGUUGAACGAUCUCAUUUUGGUUGGGGUGAACUUUAGGCACAUGCCUGGACAUGCCUGACCAACUGAACAUGAGGUAAUGUACUGUUGGGUCAUGGAUACGAGUGGACACUCAACCACAGCGGCCUCUGUGGGCCUAAUCCCCAGACCGUCUUUGGAUACACCAAUCAGAGGAGAAGUUGAAAUGGACUACUGUGCACUAGUGUGUCUCUAUCCUCCUAUAACUAACUGACUGGAUACAUGGACAGAAAUGGAGGGUGUGAGAUGUGUGUGUUCUGUGUUGUGAUGGUACACUGUCUUCUCUGAGACGGCUCUACACACAGCUGUGUCUGUCACAUCUGCAAUACAUUCGACACGGGUCGGCAUGCUGAUCUGUUCAUGUGUGCUGGUUUGUCUAAGUACAUACACCCUGAGUCACCCUCACUCACGCGCGCGCGCACACACACACACACACACACACACACACACACACACACACACACACACACACACACACACACACACACACACACACACACACA
Oncorhynchus gorbuscha (pink salmon) is the source of this 820-nucleotide long non-coding RNA. RefSeq lists it as uncharacterized. The transcript is spliced from 2 exons. NCBI's taxonomy places the organism in Eukaryota, Metazoa, Chordata, Actinopteri, Salmoniformes, Salmonidae. The record is from RefSeq and is a predicted model, not a curated record.